CUACACUUACUCUGCUUUGAUCUGUUCCAUAUUCCUAAUCUGUUCUUUUUUGAUCUUUUUCUCCUAAAAUUCAUAAGGCCAUAAACAAACCAGUGGUAUGCUCAAGUACACCACUGAUUGGGAGGCUAGUAGCAGAUUAAGUACACAAAGCUGAAGAGGAUUGAAAUGGAAAAAUCAAUCAAAGUAUUGAUUAUUUCUUUGUGUAUCUGCCCCUGGCCAAAUCAAUGAAACAAUGCGUGCACACUCCCUGAAGUAAUUCACACCAGACACAGGUUCCAGGUUGUUGAAUAAUUUGAGGAAAGUUUAUUCAGAGGGGACAGCAGGUCCCUUUUAAAGCAAAAUUACAUCAUAAUCAUUGUCAGAGAUAACAUGGAAUAAUACAUCAAUAAUUG
Non-coding RNA from Pelobates cultripes (western spadefoot toad), 392 nucleotides. The record is from the annotation of a GenBank genome assembly. Lineage: Eukaryota; Metazoa; Chordata; Amphibia; Anura; Pelobatidae.